RNAcentral lists this ribosomal RNA (759 nucleotides) under Oceanobacillus profundus. RNAcentral describes it as "bacterial SSU rRNA". It matches the Rfam family "Bacterial small subunit ribosomal RNA", at positions 565 to 1324 of the family's 1533-position model. Lineage: Bacteria; Bacillati; Bacillota; Bacilli; Caryophanales; Bacillaceae. The record is from RNAcentral.
GCGCUCGCAGGCGGUCUUUUAAGUCUGAUGUGAAAGCCCACGGCUUAACCGUGGAGGGUCAUUGGAAACUGGAGGACUUGAGUACAGAAGAGGAGAGUGGAAUUCCACGUGUAGCGGUGAAAUGCGUAGAGAUGUGGAGGAACACCAGUGGCGAAGGCGACUCUCUGGUCUGUAACUGACGCUGAGGAGCGAAAGCGUGGGUAGCGAACAGGAUUAGAUACCCUGGUAGUCCACGCCGUAAACGAUGAGUGCUAGGUGUUAGGGGGUUUCCGCCCCUUAGUGCUGAAGUUAACGCAUUAAGCACUCCGCCUGGGGAGUACGGCCGCAAGGCUGAAACUCAAAAGAAUUGACGGGGGCCCGCACAAGCGGUGGAGCAUGUGGUUUAAUUCGAAGCAACGCGAAGAACCUUACCAGGUCUUGACAUCCUCUGAUACCUCUAGAGAUAGAGUUUUCCCUUCGGGGACAGAGUGACAGGUGGUGCAUGGUUGUCGUCAGCUCGUGUCGUGAGAUGUUGGGUUAAGUCCCGCAACGAGCGCAACCCUUGAUCUUAGUUGCCAGCAUUCAGUUGGGCACUCUAAGGUGACUGCCGGUGACAAACCGGAGGAAGGUGGGGAUGACGUCAAAUCAUCAUGCCCCUUAUGACCUGGGCUACACACGUGCUACAAUGGAUGGAACAAAGGGAAGCGAACCCGUGAGGUCAAGCCAAUCCCAUAAAACCAUUCUCAGUUCGGAUUGUAGGCUGCAACUCGCCUACAUGAA